Molecule: ribosomal RNA, 259 nt
Filed under: uncultured bacterium
Lineage: Bacteria
Description: partial small subunit ribosomal RNA
Rfam family: Bacterial small subunit ribosomal RNA
Source: RNAcentral
AGGACGAACGCUGGCGGCGUGCUUAACACAUGCAAGUCGAGCGGAAAGGCCCUUUCGGGGGUACUCGAGCGGCGAACGGGUGAGUAACACGUGAGUAACCUGCCCUGGACUUUGGGAUAACCCUCGGAAACGGGGGCUAAUACCGGAUAUGACACGCUCUCGCAUGGGAUGUGUGUGGUAAAGUUUUUCGGUCUGGGAUGGGCUCGCGGCCUAUCAGCUUGUUGGUGGGGUGAUGGCCUACCGAAGGCGACGACGGGUA